CAUUGCAGUCAUGAAAUAAAGCUUGAGAGAAGAGCGAAGGCCAGAGGCUGUGUAGGGCUGUAGGUGUGUUCUGAGGGGAACAUUAGCAGCUUCUGCUAUAACCUUCUUGGUGAACUCCUUAAUGGAUGAGAAUGAGCUUGAAUGGUCUCCAUUCUCUUAUAAAUCUUCUAAUUAUCCUAACUUUUAGGGCAAAAUAAAAUUUGGAGCCUACACACGCUGGAAUUGAGUGAUGCAGGUGCCUCUGCCAGGCAAAAACUUAGGACUCAAGGCUUUGGGGAGCUGGGAAUGCUGUUACCAGUGCCUAGCACAGACUCCAGCUGAAGCUGUGUUUGUGUGCCCUCAGUGCUGUGUGGGAGUAACCCAGUUCAUCUUAAGAGUCCUUUUAUCCAGCUGCAAAGACGGUGUGUCUCAAACAGAAUUGUCAAAGAUCUGAUUCUUCUUUGCAAAGCUUCAGGAGCUGGACAGAUUGCUGGAAAUGAAGAUUAGGCACUCAUACAGAAGAUUCUACUUUGCUGCCGGAAGCAAGACUCCUCAAUAGUGACUGUGUUUUGCUGGAGCUGUGGGGUCUUCUGAGCUGGCUUCUGGCUGGGGGCUGCCUUCCGUCUAGCUGCUCCUUAGGAACCAGUUAGUAAGUAAUAGAACAGAACUGUGUUGUGCAGGAGGUGUUUAAUCUGAGAAAUGACUGCG
This 687-nucleotide long non-coding RNA is filed under the name Chrysolophus pictus (golden pheasant). Its description in RNAcentral is "lncRNA (ENSCPIG00010010819.1)". Lineage: Eukaryota; Metazoa; Chordata; Aves; Galliformes; Phasianidae. The record is from RNAcentral.